Molecule: long non-coding RNA, 1944 nt
Organism: Chinchilla lanigera (long-tailed chinchilla)
Lineage: Eukaryota; Metazoa; Chordata; Mammalia; Rodentia; Chinchillidae
Source: Ensembl
GAAUAGGACGCGCAGCUUAUUUUUCAGUGAUUAAAAAACCAGAUAGUUAGAUGCAUAAUACAAGCAGACAAAUAGUGACAGGAGAAAGGGAGAGAAGGAGAAAGGGAGAAAAGAAAGGAAUAGAACUUGCAACUGAAAAGAUUAGGAGAGAACGAUAGGUUAACAGUAGGUGACAUUUUUGCAGCUUUCCAGAAUGCUUGAAAUUAUCUCCAUCUUCAAGGUACACACACACACAGAAGAGGAAGAUUCUAGUCAGGCCAUGAAUGGAGAGGAAACAGAGUUAAGGUAGACAAGUAGGGAAGAAAGCAUUUCGGAUGUGGGGAUUGACUGAACAAACUACUGAGGUCAGAAUGAGUUUGACUUGCAUGGAGAUUGCCCAGUACAAGUCUGAUGGAACAGCUUUGUGAGAUGCAGAGGAGGAGGAGAGUUCUUCCUAUGCUGGGGAGACAAACUGAACGCUGCCCACAGGGAAGGCAGAAAGAGCACCAGUGCCACCACCUGGAUACAGGGAGAAUGAGGCACCGCUUGAAAAGGAAGGCACUGUGUGUCCAAGAGGGAACAGGUGAUUGUGCUUGCUUUUGUGCCCUUAUCGUUCCCUUGUCACAGUUUCUUUGCCUUUCCCUUUUUCCAUUUCUUCCCACCUUCCCUACUCAUAUAUGUUAAUCUCUGUUUUGCCUGCUGUCCUGUUUAGGAAGUGGUCCGGAGAAUGGUGUAGAGCCCUCCUGAAGUAAGACAGGAGGGAGACCAGAAUUAAGACUCUCAAAAUACAGGAAAAGCUUCUUGUAAGUUUGCCUCAGGCUGCCUGAGGUCUAAUUAAGCUCUAUCAGAUCCUUAGCCCUGAAACCAAGGGGACAGCGUCAGCAAAUUUGUUAUCCUAUGAGGAAAGAAAAGCAAUGUGCCUUACAGUCCUCAUCUGCCUUGUGACAUUAGAGCUUUGUAGUGCUCCAUGAUACAUAGCUCUAUUUUAUGUGAUAUGAUCUGGGGAUUACUCUAACCAGGAAUUCAGGGCAGUUGACUACAAAUGUUUUACAAAUGACUACAAAUAGGCAGAGACUAAAUGCAAUGAAACGAAACCAAACCAAACCUCUACAGUAGACCUUUUUAUCUUCUACAGAGAUUUUCUUCUCUAUACUAAGUUCUAAAGAUCUCUACCUUUGGCAGACAGUUAUCCAGGCAAUUACAGGAGUCAGGCACUCUUCUUGGUACCAGUGUAGGAAAAGAGAGAAGUAAACAGCUUAGUGUUCUAAAUAAGGUUAAUUUUUAUUCUUGGAAUUUAGAUAACCAUUUCUGAUGUUAUUCACUUCAGGAAUCAUUUUUGGUAAUCUACUUCUAGUCUCCAUCUCUCCUAAGGAUUCCCUGGGGAUAAGCUAUGGGCCAUGCAUUGUGAUGGAAGGACCCUGGAACAGUUUUCUUGGGGAAGUAUCAUCCAUCAAUUAAAGGAGUUUGACUUCUGUUUUCUGCUCUAAUAUUCUUCAGUUUGUUGAUUUUAAAGGAAAUUUUUAGAAGACUUCAUGGGAUUAGAUAUAGAUAAUUAUGCCAGGUAGAAUCAGUCAUAAUGACUGAGCUAUCCAACAAAAAUUGUGAGAUUGGUUCAAUGACUUAGUCUUUGACAAACAGGAGAAAUCUACUUUUAACUUCAGUCAACCUACAUAGGUCCUGUACUUGUUUAUUGUGUAUGUUUUUGCUCAGAGUUUAAAAAUUUCCAUACUGGGAUAAGUGCUGGUUUCUGUUUGGUUGAAAAUUUAAAAAAUGAAUUUAGUUGAAUCUUGUCUGGAGGAAUUACAAUAAAAUCUGAAAUUUGCUACCCUAUAACAUAUUUUAAAGCUCAAAUUAUAAAAAUUAAAUAGAUGAAAUCUGAAUACUUUUAUUUUGAUUUAAGCUUCCUCAUUUUAACUACUCAUAAACUUACUGCAAAGCUUGGCAUGUAGUAGACAUUCAAUAAAC